Molecule: ribosomal RNA, 526 nt
Filed under: [Candida] sp. SM9L02
Lineage: Eukaryota; Fungi; Ascomycota; Saccharomycetes; Saccharomycetales
Description: eukaryotic LSU rRNA
Rfam family: Eukaryotic large subunit ribosomal RNA
Source: RNAcentral
CGGCGAGUGAAGCGGCAAUAGCUCAAAUUUGAAAUCUCUUUACUGAGAAUUGUAUUUUGAAGAUAUAUUUCUGGGACGGAUCCUGCUCAAGUCUUCUGGGAAGAAGCAUCAUGGAGGGUGAUAAUCCCGUGAGGCAGGUAAUCCUUACCGUGUAGAAUAAUAUCAAAGAGUCGAGUUGUUUGGGAAUGCAGCUCAAAGUGGGUGGUAAAUUCCAUCUAAAGCUAAAUAUCUGCGAGAGACCGAUAGCGGACAAGUACUGUGAAGGAAAGAUGAAAAGCACUUUGAAAAGAGAGUGAAAUAGCACGUGAAAUUGUUGAAAUGGAAGGGCUUGCCACCAGUCGUGACUGUAAAGUUCCACUUCCUCUUGGGGUUGUGUACUCUUUGCAGUCGGGUCAGCAUCAGUUUUGGCGGAAGGAUAAUCGGUAUUGAAUGUAGCUCCUCGGAGUAUUAUAGCCUUACCUGAUGCUUCCAGCUGGGAUUGAGGACCGCAUUUUUAGGAUGCUGGCAUAAUGGUGUCAAGCCACCC